Molecule: long non-coding RNA, 639 nt
Organism: Saccostrea cuccullata (small rock oyster)
Lineage: Eukaryota; Metazoa; Mollusca; Bivalvia; Ostreida; Ostreidae
Exons: 5
Source: RefSeq, a predicted model, not a curated record
GUGUUAACAUUCAUGAUGCUGAAAAUUUGUACAACACCUACGGGGGAACACCUUCAUCAAAGGGGACAGCAGCUCAGAAAAGACAACUGACACCUGAAAAUCCUAAUAAAGAGAUUUCAGAAUAAUAUUCGUAGUCCAGUUGUGCCUUUUUCACCUGCAAGUUUUUCACCAGUUGGGACAACUCCUUCCAAAAAGUAUAGAUUAAGAACAAAUGCUGGUGAUGUGGUAGCCUCCAUUGGAAACUUGGAUAAUAUUAAGUGGCAAAGUAAAGGCAAGAAUUGCACCAUUAAAUGGUAUGAUCCAUUGAACAACUUAUCCAAAGAGGACAGUGAAAAUCUAAAGGAUCUGAAUAAAAACUUCAAGUAUAUGUUUCAGAAGCUAACGGCCAAAGCUGCAGUUUUAAAUGAAAUGAUAGAAGAAAUGGGAAAACAACUACAAGAGAAGAACAACAUUGAGGAAUUUUCCCAUGUCUCUUUGCCAGUUCAGGAAGAGGUGACUUUGGUUGGGAGAAUUUGCUGUGAUAGCCUUGGGAAGCUGAAUGCCAAGUCUGUGAUUCUGGAAGGUUCCAGAGAGACGUCUGCUGGCUGCUUCAUUCCUUUGGACCUAACCGACCUCAAGCAGUACUCACUGUUUCCAGGG